RNAcentral lists this ribosomal RNA (472 nucleotides) under uncultured bacterium. RNAcentral describes it as "partial 16S ribosomal RNA". It matches the Rfam family "Bacterial small subunit ribosomal RNA", at positions 28 to 507 of the family's 1533-position model. The record is from RNAcentral.
GACGAACGCUGGCGGCGUGCUUAACACAUGCAAGUCGAACGCUGAAGCUUGGUGCUUGCACUGGGUGGAUGAGUGGCGAACGGGUGAGUAAUACGUGAGUAACCUGCCCUUGACUCUGGGAUAAGCCUGGGAAACUGGGUCUAAUACUGGAUACGACAUGCCACUGCAUGGUGGUGUGUGGAAAGGGUUUUACUGGUUUUGGAUGGGCUCACGGCCUAUCAGCUUGUUGGUGGGGUAAUGGCCUACCAAGGCGACGACGGGUAGCCGGCCUGAGAGGGUGACCGGCCACACUGGGACUGAGACAGGGCCCAGACGCCUACGGGAGGCAGCGGUGGGGAAUAUUGCACAAUGGGCGGAAGCCUGAUGCAGCGACGCCGCGUGAGGGAUGACGGCCUUCGGGUUGUAAACCUCUUUCAGCACGGAAGAAGCGAGAGUGACGGUACGUGCAGAAGAAGCGCCGGCUAACUACGUG